AUGACCAACUGUCGGCCCGCCUCCACGCCGGUCGACACGAAGCCCAAACUCUCCGCCGCUGAGGGUGAGCUUGCCGACGACGCCACCGAGUACAGGAGCAUCACUGGCGCCCUUCAGUACCUCACACUGACGCGUCCAGAUCUUCAGUAUGCCGUGCAACAGGUAUGCUUGCAUAUGCACGCGCCGCGGCAGCCGCACUGGGCCAUGGUGAAGCGCAUCCUGCGCUAUGUUCGGGGGAGCGUCGGACACGGCAUCACCAUCUCCGCCUCGGCACCGACCGAGCUCAUCGCAUACAGUGACGCUGACUGGGCAGGCUGCCCCGACACGCGGCGUUCGACAUCCGGCUACUGUCUCUUCCUCGGCGGCUCGCUCAUCUCGUGGUCGUCGAAACGACAGCCCACUGUGUCUCGCUCGAGCGCCGAGGCCGAGUACCGUGCCGUGGCCAACGCAGUUGCUGAGUGCUGUUGGACGCGCCAACUUCUUCAUGAACUUCACUCCGGUAUCGACAGGGCCAGCGUCGUCUACUGCGACAAUGUGUCGGCAGUCUACCUGGCUCACAAUCCAGUUCAUCACCGCCGCACCAAGCAUAUCGAGUUGGACAUCCACUUCGUUCGCGAGAAGGUGGCUCUUGGUCAGUUUCGCGUCCUUCACGUGCCCACCACGUUGCAGUUCGCCGACAUCAUGACUAAGGGGCUGCCCACCGCCACGUUCGAGGACUUCUGA
Molecule: ribosomal RNA, 723 nt
Filed under: Triticum aestivum (bread wheat)
Lineage: Eukaryota; Viridiplantae; Streptophyta; Magnoliopsida; Poales; Poaceae
Description: partial small subunit ribosomal RNA
Source: RNAcentral